AGAUGAAACAGUUACUGUACAGUUACAGUAACUGUACAGUUAAUCAUCUAGUUGAGUUGGUUUCCCAGUUUGUGUGCGUCCAUGACCACAAUACAGAUGCCAUGACAGAGCCAGCAAAGAAAGUGAAGAAGGUUUCAUCAGAAGAGUGAAGGAAAAGAAAGAGAGAGACUGAGCAAGAGCCUGGAUGUGGGUGAAUAUCAGACUGGCUUACAAGUGUUGGUGCAAGCUUUAUGAGACAGAGACUGCAGGACCGAUGGACACCUAGCCUUGCUGCUAUUGGAUUAGUAAAUCCCUCCAUGUCCCUCAGCCUAAAGCCACUACAGCCAUGGGGGCUCAUCUAGUACAGGGGGGAGGUGAGAAGUGCCCACUGUACAUGUAUGCCUACUGGUCAGUGCCCUCUAAUGUGAACAAGGUGAGAGGAGCAGCCGGUAACACCAUUAACUACACCACAGGGGCAGCUAGGAAGAAGGCACUUGACGAACCGAC
Long non-coding RNA from Cololabis saira (Pacific saury), 486 nucleotides. RefSeq lists it as uncharacterized. The transcript is spliced from 4 exons. NCBI's taxonomy places the organism in Eukaryota, Metazoa, Chordata, Actinopteri, Beloniformes, Belonidae. The record is from RefSeq and is a predicted model, not a curated record.